Molecule: ribosomal RNA, 253 nt
Filed under: uncultured bacterium
Lineage: Bacteria
Description: partial 16S ribosomal RNA
Rfam family: Bacterial small subunit ribosomal RNA
Source: RNAcentral
UACAGAGGUCUCAAGCGUUGUUCGGAUUCAUUGGGCGUAAAGGGCGCGUAGGCUGCGGGGCAAGUCGGGUGUGAAAUCUCAGAGCUCAACUCUGAAACUGCACUCGAUACUGCUUUGCUUGAGGACUGGAGAGGAGAUUGGAAUUCACGGUGUAGCAGUGAAAUGCGUAGAUAUCGUGAGGAAGACCAGUGGCGAAGGCGGGUCUCUGGACAGUUCCUGACACUGAGACACGAAGGCCAGGGGAGCAAACGGG